AGAGGGAUAGCUGGGUCAAAUGGUGAUUCCAUUCCAGGUUUUCCAAGGAAUAUCCAUACUGCUUUCCAUAUUGGCUGCACCAAUUUGCAGUCCUACCAGCAAU
This 103-nucleotide microRNA precursor is filed under the name Marmota monax (woodchuck). The record is from RNAcentral. Lineage: Eukaryota; Metazoa; Chordata; Mammalia; Rodentia; Sciuridae.